This 531-nucleotide ribosomal RNA is filed under the name Bothus lunatus (plate fish). RNAcentral describes it as "partial 12S ribosomal RNA". It matches the Rfam family "Bacterial small subunit ribosomal RNA", at positions 557 to 1367 of the family's 1533-position model. The record is from RNAcentral. Lineage: Eukaryota; Metazoa; Chordata; Actinopteri; Pleuronectiformes; Bothidae.
GGCGUAAAGGGUGGUUAGGGAGACACAUCAACUAAAGCCGAAGGCCGUCAAGGCCGUGAUACGCCCCUUCGAUGGCACGAAGACCAACUACGAAAGUGGCUUUACUUAGCCUGACCCCACAAAAGCUGAAGGAACAAACUGGGAUUAGAUACCCCACUAUGCUCAGCCCUAAACAUUGAUCGAAUUUAACUUAUUCUAUCCGCCUGGGAAUUACGGACACUAGUCUAAAAACCAAAGGACUUGGCGGUGCUUUACAUCCACCUAGAGGAGCCUGUUCUGUAACCGAUAACCCCCGUUAAACCUCACCUCCCCUUGCCUUAUCCACCUAUAUACCGCCGCCGUCAGCUUACCCUGAGAGGAGAAGUCGUAUGCAGAAUUGGCAUAGCCCAAAACGUCAGGUCGAGGUGUAGUGAAUGGGGGGGGAAGAAAUGGGCUACAUUUACUACGUCGAAGUAAAUACGGAUAUCUCGUUGAAACAUGAGAUUGAAGGAGGAUUUAGUAGUAAGUGGAAAACAGAGUGUUCCGCUGAAA